CGCCUUUCAAGGUAACUUGUCUGGUGACAGGGCAGAAGUCAGCAGAAGUCAUAGUAGCCAAAUGCCGGGAGUAAUGCCCCGGACAGGGUGAAGGAC
Molecule: non-coding RNA, 96 nt
Filed under: Desulfocicer vacuolatum DSM 3385
Lineage: Bacteria; Pseudomonadati; Thermodesulfobacteriota; Desulfobacteria; Desulfobacterales; Desulfobacteraceae
Source: RNAcentral